AACGAACGCUGGCGGCAUGCCUAACACAUGCAAGUCGAACGAGACCUUCGGGUCUAGUGGCGCACGGGUGCGUAACGCGUGGGAACCUGCCCUUAGGUUCGGAAUAACUCCCCGAAAGGGGUGCUAAUACCGGAUAAUGUCUUCGGACCAAAGAUUUAUCGCCUUUGGAUGGGCCCGCGUUGGAUUAGCUAGUUGGAGGGUAAAAGCCUACCAAGGCGACGAUCCAUAGCUGGUCUGAGAGGAUGAUCAGCCACACUGGGACUGAGACACGGCCCAGACUCCUACGGGAGGCAGCAGUGGGGAAUAUUGGACAAUGGGCGAAAGCCUGAUCCAGCAAUGCCGCGUGAGUGAUGAAGGCCUUAGGGUUGUAAAGCUCUUUUACCCGGGAUGAUAAUGACAGUACCGGGAGAAUAAGCUCCGGCUAACUCCGUG
RNAcentral lists this ribosomal RNA (432 nucleotides) under uncultured bacterium. Its description in RNAcentral is "partial 16S ribosomal RNA". It matches the Rfam family "Bacterial small subunit ribosomal RNA", at positions 29 to 507 of the family's 1533-position model. The record is from RNAcentral.